AGUUGGCAACUUCUGUUUCAAUAUGUGCAUUUCAUUUCUUGUCUUUUAGAUCUCUUUGGAUGAAAGAUGCAUGCUGACUGUAGGUGCUAAUGCAUCUGAGAGGACUGAAAGAUAUGCUUCAUCACUGCUACCUAGUGUUUCUGCAAGGGCAUUGACACUCAAGAUUUUUAAAGGCAUAGUAUAUUUUUGCAACUAAAAGUGUAUUAUCUCUUGGCCCUUGUCCCUGUGCUGAAUGAAAUUCGGAUGAGGAUGGGAUCUGACCUGUGGAUCAGAAGUUUGUCAAAGCCUUGCUCUAAGAACACUCCUUUUUAAGACUAUUACUAUAUCUUGGUAUAUACGUGCCCAUGUGAUGGUAAUCCUUAUACUUCCUUCACAUGGAGGGUGUGAAGAAUUUACAGUUGGGUCUUUGCAAAGCAGGCUUGUGACACUUGCCACCCAGGGUGUCAGUAAAGGCGAGUUACCCUUCCUGGAAGAACUUUGAAUGAGAUGCAAAGAGACCCUGGGAACUUGACCAGUCAAACUUAGAAGUAUGAAGAGAAUGUAGUGGGAGGAAGUGGAGGCCGUGAGUCAGCAUGAGUCAUUCUGUUCCAAUGAGAAUGAAGGCUGACUGAGAGGCAUCCUGUUCUCAAGGAGGUGGAGCAACCAACUUCUCCUUGCCCAGGAAAGACCAUCAGCCAAGACAUUAGAGUGGUUCUGGCCUUGACUGGUGGAAGAAGCAACCAUGUUAAAACAGCUGGAGGUGUUCAAAGAAGUGUUUGGAGACUACUGGGGAAACCAACCCAGCCAAAUCUGAAGGACUGUGCUGGAGAACAGAGAGAGAGAGAUGAUUGGAUGAGAAGGGUGAAGCCAUAUUUUGGAGGUCCUUGA
This 867-nucleotide long non-coding RNA is filed under the name Vombatus ursinus (common wombat). Its description in RNAcentral is "lncRNA (ENSVURG00010015809.1)". The record is from RNAcentral. Lineage: Eukaryota; Metazoa; Chordata; Mammalia; Diprotodontia; Vombatidae.